RNAcentral lists this ribosomal RNA (24 nucleotides) under Cladonia furcata. Its description in RNAcentral is "partial 28S ribosomal RNA". The record is from RNAcentral. Lineage: Eukaryota; Fungi; Ascomycota; Lecanoromycetes; Lecanorales; Cladoniaceae.
UUGACCUCGGAUCAGGAGGGAUAC